UGAAUAAGAUAGACUCAGGUAGACUAAUUC
This 30-nucleotide non-coding RNA is filed under the name Rattus norvegicus (Norway rat). Lineage: Eukaryota; Metazoa; Chordata; Mammalia; Rodentia; Muridae. The record is from RNAcentral.